CCUACGGGAGGCAGCAGUGGGGAAUAUUGGACAAUGGGGGCAACCCUGAUCCAGCCAUGCCGCGUGUGUGAAGAAGGCCCUCGGGUUGUAAAGCACUUUCAGUGAGGAAGAACGCCUUGUGGUUAAUACCCAUCAGGAAAGACAUCACUCACAGAAGAAGCACCGGCUAACUCCGUGCCAGCAGCCGCGGUAAUACGGAGGGUGCGAGCGUUAAUCGGAAUUACUGGGCGUAAAGCGCGCGUAGGUGGCUUGAUAAGCCGGUUGUGAAAGCCCCGGGCUCAACCUGGGAACGGCAUCCGGAACUGGCAAGCUAGAGUGCAGUAGAGGAAGGUAGAAUUCCCGGUGUAGCGGUGAAAUGCGUAGAGAUCGGGAGGAAUACCAGUGGCGAAGGCGGCCUUCUGGACUGACACUGACACUGAGGUGCGAAAGCGUGGGUAGCAAACAGGAUUAGAUACCCGAGUAGUC
This 465-nucleotide ribosomal RNA is filed under the name Vreelandella stevensii. Its description in RNAcentral is "partial 16S ribosomal RNA". It matches the Rfam family "Bacterial small subunit ribosomal RNA", at positions 338 to 795 of the family's 1533-position model. The record is from RNAcentral. Lineage: Bacteria; Pseudomonadati; Pseudomonadota; Gammaproteobacteria; Oceanospirillales; Halomonadaceae.